Molecule: ribosomal RNA, 436 nt
Filed under: uncultured Saccharofermentans sp.
Lineage: Bacteria; Bacillati; Bacillota; Clostridia; Eubacteriales; Oscillospiraceae
Description: bacterial SSU rRNA
Rfam family: Bacterial small subunit ribosomal RNA
Source: RNAcentral
ACGGGAGGCAGCAGUGGGGAAUAUUGGGCAAUGGGCGAAAGCCUGACCCAGCAACGCCGCGUGAAGGAUGAAGGUCUUCGGAUUGUAAACUUCUUUAAUUAGGGAAGAAUAACUGACAUUACCUAAAGAAUAAGUCACGGCUAACUACGUGCCAGCAGCCGCGGUAAUACGUAGGUGACAAGCGUUAUCCGGAUUUACUGGGUGUAAAGGGCGUGUAGGCGGUUUUGCAAGUCAGAGGUGAAAUUCCCGAGCUCAACUUGGGCGCUGCCUCUGAAACUGUAGAACUUGAGUACUGGAGAGGAUAGUGGAAUUCCUAGUGUAGUGGUAAAAUGCGUAGAUAUUAGGAGGAACACCGGUGGCGAAGGCGGCUAUCUGGACAGUAACUGACGCUGAGGCGCGAAAGCGUGGGGAGCAAACAGGAUUAGAUACCCUGGUA